GGAGAGGUCGCCUAGUCUGGCCUAGGGCGCGGCACUGGAAAUGCCGUAAGCGGCAACGCUUCGUGGGUUCGAAUCCCACCCUCUCCGCCA
RNAcentral lists this transfer RNA (90 nucleotides) under Chloroflexota bacterium. Its description in RNAcentral is "Chloroflexi bacterium tRNA-Ser". It matches the Rfam family "tRNA". From Rfam's summary of the family: Transfer RNA (tRNA) molecules are approximately 80 nucleotides in length. Their secondary structure includes four short double-helical elements and three loops (D, anti-codon, and T loops). Lineage: Bacteria; Bacillati; Chloroflexota. The record is from RNAcentral.